This is a long non-coding RNA of Cajanus cajan (pigeon pea), 2406 nucleotides long. RefSeq lists it as uncharacterized. Lineage: Eukaryota; Viridiplantae; Streptophyta; Magnoliopsida; Fabales; Fabaceae. The record is from RefSeq and is a predicted model, not a curated record.
ACCAUUUUUCUCUAGCAAUCCUCUAUUAUUUGGUGCUUUCACCUACCCCCGUGCCUCCCCGAUCUUCUAAAGAAGAUAAACAUGUUAAUAACCUCUCCACAAAAUUUCAAGAUCUGCAAUCACAAUUUGAAUCCCAAGUUCCAACCUGGGUCUUGAUAUUCUACCAUGCAAUCUGAGAUCGCCCAAAAUCAAGAUUCACUAUCCUCCAUCAUGGAAACCCUACAUGCUCAUUUUGGGAAUCCAGGUUCAUCUUCCACUGGACCCUCUAUCUCUUCAUCUCCAAUGCACAUCGUUGACAAUAAUUUUAGUUCCUAUAUUCCCCCUAUUUCACUACCAUAUCAAUUUUCCCCACACAUUAUGUAUUUUGACCCAUCUUACCCUAGAACCCCACCUAUUUUCACUAACCAUACUACUGUCACAGUUGCUGGCCCCAAUUUUUUUGGCCAUGGUAACUCUAGCGUUCCUUAUUCUACUACAAUACCUUCAUCCCUUCCAUCUAUUACUUCCAUCAUGAUACCUCCCAAUUCAUCUACCUUUACCCACCAGACCCCACCUCCACCUCCUUUCCCUAACUCACAGAUUCGGCCCCCUAAACUGCAUCUAUUGUUGUUUGAUGGUUCAACAACUAUGGACUGGCUUUUUUAGGUUACAAAAAUGCAAAUUUGCAAGUAUCUACUAUAAUUGUGAUGAGAAGUUUCAUGCAGGGCAUAAGUGUGCAAUUUUAAAUGUCGAGCCAAGCGAGGCUGUAUGAUAUUGUCAUAUUAUUUCAGGCCAAGGUGUUCAACCUGAUCCAAGGGAGAUUCAAGUUAUUGGGGUUGGCCUUCUCCAUGUUCAUUCACAAUACUGCACGGGUUCUUAGAAUUAAAUAGCUUUUAUCGUAUAUUCGUUCAUAAUUGUGUGCCUAUAGUCAUUCCUUUCACCAAUUUGUUGCAUUCUACUACUUUUCAAUGGAGUUUACAGGCCCAACAAGCAUUUAUAGAGUUAAAAGAAAAAAUUACAUUCGUUCCUGUUCUUGCUCUACUAGACUUCAGCUCUCCAUUUGUCAUUGAGACAGACGCUUAUGGUGGAGUAAUAGGUGUAGUUUUGUCCCAGCAUUGUCAUCCUCUUGUCUUCUUCAAUAAUUGCCUUUAUCCUAAGUUUCAGGUCACGUCAAUAUAUGUUCGAGAAAUGUUUGUUGUCACGAAGGCAAUAAAAAAAGUGGUGUCAAUAUUUGGUCAGACAAUACUUUCAAAUAAUCACAGAUCAAAUGAGUUACCUCCGUUGCUUUGUCAAUGAUCACCCUUGCGCAUGGUAUCAAUAUCUCCAUCUAACAGAGUACUGGCACAACACCUCCUUCCACACAGUAUUGGCACCACACCCUUUCAAGCUCUAUAUGGAUGUGCGCCUCUUAACCCCAUUGAUGUGUUGUACGGCCAUUCUUCCACGACCAUUCAACUCCUCCUACAAGAACACAAAAAUAUUUUAAAGGAGGUCAAAAUGCAUCUUUCCAAAGUGCGUCAACAAAUGAAACAUUUUGCAAACCAGCAUCGUCGUGACAUUACAUUUAAGGCCAGCAAUUGGGUUUUGUUAAAGCUUUAGACCUACCAACAAACAUCGUUGCAGCGUUGCACAUCCCAGAAGCUAGCCAAGAGGUAUUAAGGCCCCUUCCAGGUUCACCGCCACAUUGACUUGGUGGCUUAUGAACUGCUCUUGCCAAAACCCUCACACAUUCAUCCAAUGUUCCAUGUUUCGUUGUUGUGCCCUUGCCAAAACCCUCACACAUUCAUCCAAUGUUCCAUGUUUCGUUGUUGUGCCCUUAUAAGGGAGAUGACCCCCUUUGCCAAUUGGGACCCGUAGCCUCAAAGGAGUUUUAUCCUUCUCUCUCAUUGCCUCUCAACAUUUUGGAAGGUGGGAAGGCAACUAAUGAUUCAAACAAAGAUAACUCUUUGUUUGGUGGAGCAGAUGUCGUUUCUUUUGACCAACCAUGUGCCCUUGUCAAUAAUUCAGCCAUUAAUGCUCACUUUCUCCCACCUACCUCUUCAUCCAAGUCAUUGGUAGAAAACACAACUCCAUCUCAUACGUCCAACUCAACACUGAUAUGUGGCUAUUCUAAAGUGACCAAUGACAUUGAGGACAAUGUCAAUUAUGGCUAGGCCGAUAAUGAUACAAAUGAGAUGCCCAAACACAUGACCAGAAGGCCACUAAAGCUCAACGAUUAAACAAUGGAGGGAAUUGGACUUUAAACUAGUAAUAGGUCCAAUUGUUUUUUAGUGGACAAAUUAAGUUCUAGCAUUUUAUUUUUCGUUACAACAUUUAUUUUCCCUAAAUCAGUGCUUUACAUGUGUAGGCACUAGAGUUAUUGAGUCUUUUCUUUUAUAGUGAUUGUACUACAACUUGAUGGUUAUGGAAUGAGUAUCUUUCUUAGCA